GACGAACGCUGGCGGCGUGCUUAACACAUGCAAGUCGAACGGUGAAGCGCCUUCCUUUUUGGUGGGUGUGGAUGAGUGGCGAACGGGUGAGUAACACGUGAGUAACCUGCCCCCUUCUUCUGGAUAACCGCAUGAAAGUGUGGCUAAUACGGGAUAUUCUGGGUCUGUCGCAUGAUGGGUCUGGGAAAGAUAUUGUUUCGGUGGGGGAUGGGCUCGCGGCCUAUCAGCUUGUUGGUGGGGUGAUGGCCUACCAAGGCGGUGACGGGUAGCCGGCCUGAGAGGGUGGACGGUCACACUGGGACUGAGACACGGCCCAGACUCAUACGGGAGGCAGCAGUGGGGAAUAUUGCACAAUGGGGGCAAGCCUGAUGCAGCGACGCCGCGUGAGGGAUGGAGGCCUUCGGGUUGUGAACCUCUUUCGCCAGUGAAGCAGGCCUGCCUCGUUUGCGGGUGGGUUGACGGUAGCUGGAUAAGAAGCGCCGGCUAACUACGUG
Molecule: ribosomal RNA, 494 nt
Filed under: uncultured bacterium
Lineage: Bacteria
Description: partial 16S ribosomal RNA
Rfam family: Bacterial small subunit ribosomal RNA
Source: RNAcentral